CCAAGGAAGGCAGCAGGCGCGCAAAUUACCCACUCCCGGCACGGGGAGGUAGUGACGAAAAAUAACAAUACGGGACUCUUUUGAAACCCCGUAAUUGGAAUGAGUACACUCUAAAUCCUUUAACGAUGAACUAUUGGAGGUAAAGUCUGGUGCCAGCAUCCGCGGUAACUCCAGCUCCAAUAGCGUAUAUUAAAGUUGUUGCGGUUAAAAAGCUCGUAGUUGGAUCUCAGUUUGUUCGCGGGCGGUCCGGCGCGAGCCGGCCACUGCCCGCGGGCGACCGUCUCGCCGGUUUCCGCGGAUGAUCUUGACCGGUUGUCCGUGGUGACCGGCAAGUUUACUUUGAAAAAAUUAGAGUGCUCAAAGCAGGCUGCUUACCGCCUGAAUAAUGUUGCAUGGAAUAAUGGAAUAGGACCUCGGUUCUAUUUUGUUGGUUUUCUGGACACGAGGUAAUGAUUAAGAGGGACAGACGGGGGCAUUCGUAUUGCGACGCUAGAGGUGAAAUUCUUGGACCGCCGCACGACGAACUACUGCGAAAGCAUUUGCCAAGAAUGUUUCCAUUAAUCAAGAACGAAAGUCAGAGGUUCGAAGGCGAUCAGAUACCGCCCUAGUUCUGACCAUAAACGAUGCCAGCCAGCGAUCCGGCUGCGUUCCUCAAAUGACGCGCCGGGCAGCUUCCGGGAAACCAAAGCUUUUGGGUUCCGGGGGGAGUAUGGUUGCAAAGCUGAAACUUAAAGGAAUUGACGGAAGCGCACACAAGAAAUGGGGCCUGCGGCUUAAUUUGACUCAACACGGUGCAACUCACCCGGCCCGGACACAGGAAGGAUUGACAGAU
This 832-nucleotide ribosomal RNA is filed under the name Tetragnatha mandibulata. Its description in RNAcentral is "SSU rRNA". It matches the Rfam family "Eukaryotic small subunit ribosomal RNA", at positions 416 to 1248 of the family's 1831-position model. Lineage: Eukaryota; Metazoa; Arthropoda; Arachnida; Araneae; Tetragnathidae. The record is from RNAcentral.